RNAcentral lists this ribosomal RNA (464 nucleotides) under uncultured bacterium. Its description in RNAcentral is "partial 16S ribosomal RNA". It matches the Rfam family "Bacterial small subunit ribosomal RNA", at positions 29 to 507 of the family's 1533-position model. The record is from RNAcentral.
ACGCACGCUGGCGGCGUGCCUAACACAUGCAAGUCGAACGGAGUCGGCCCCGCAAGGGACUGACUUAGUGGCGAACGGGUGAGUAACGCGUGAGCAACCUGCCUUUCAGUGGGGGACAACAGUUGGAAACGACUGCUAAUACCGCAUAAUGCAUUUUGACCGCAUGAUCGAGAUGCCAAAGAUUUAUUGCUGAAAGAUGGGCUCGCGUCUGAUUAGAUAGUUGGUGAGGUAACGGCCCACCAAGUCGACGAUCAGUAGCCGGACUGAGAGGUUGAACGGCCACAUUGGGAAUGAGAUACGGCCCAGACUCCUACGGGAGGCAGGAGUGGGGAAUAUUGGGCAAUGGGGGAAACCCUGACCCAGCAACGCCGCGUGAAGGAAGAAGGCUUUCGGGUUGUAAAAUUCUUUUACCAGGGACGAAGAAAGUGACGGUACCUGGAGAAAAAGCCACGGCUAACUACGUG